RNAcentral lists this ribosomal RNA (254 nucleotides) under uncultured bacterium. Its description in RNAcentral is "partial 16S ribosomal RNA". It matches the Rfam family "Bacterial small subunit ribosomal RNA", at positions 524 to 777 of the family's 1533-position model. The record is from RNAcentral.
UACAGAGGGUGCAAGCGUUACUCGGAAUUACUGGGCGUAAAGCGUGCGUAGGUGGUUUGUUAAGUCUGUUGUGAAAGCCCCGGGCUCAACCUGGGAAUGGCAAUGGAUACUGGCAGGCUAGAGUGCGGUAGAGGUAGUGGAAUUCCCGGUGUAGCGGUGAAAUGCGUAGAGAUCGGGAGGAACACCAGUGGCGAAGGCGGCUACCUGGACCGAGCACUGACACUGAGGCACGAAAGCGUGGGGAGCAAACAGGG